RNAcentral lists this ribosomal RNA (253 nucleotides) under uncultured bacterium. RNAcentral's name for it is "partial 16S ribosomal RNA". It matches the Rfam family "Bacterial small subunit ribosomal RNA", at positions 524 to 776 of the family's 1533-position model. The record is from RNAcentral.
UACGUAGGGGGCGAGCGUUGUCCGGAAUUACUGGGCGUAAAGGGUGUGUAGGUGGUACUUUAAGUUGGAUGUGAAAUGCCCGGGCUUAACCUGGGACCUGCAUCCAAUACUGGAGAACUAGAGUGCAGGAGAGGGAAGCGGAAUUCCUAGUGUAGCGGUGAAAUGCGUAGAUAUUAGGAGGAACACCAGUGGCGAAGGCGGCUUUCUGGACUGUAACUGACACUGAGACACGAAAGCGUGGGGAGCAAACAGG